UCCCCAGUAGCUCAGUUGGCAGAGCAGAUGGCUGUUAACCAUCGGGUCCGCGGUUCGAGUCCGUGCUGGGGAG
Non-coding RNA from Desulfobacterales bacterium C00003060, 73 nucleotides. NCBI's taxonomy places the organism in Bacteria, Pseudomonadati, Thermodesulfobacteriota, Desulfobacteria, Desulfobacterales. The record is from Rfam.